GUGUCAGCAGCCGCGGUAAUACGUAGGAGGCGAGCGUUGUCCGGAUUUACUGGGCGUAAAGCGCGUGUAGGCGGCACGAUAAGUCUGCUGUGAAAGCUCUCGGCUUAACCGGGAGAGGUCGGUGGAUACUGUCGCGCUUGAGGACGGUAGAGGGGGGUGGAAUUCCCGGUGUAGUGGUGAAAUGCGUAGAGAUCGGGAGGAACACCAGCGGCGAAGGCGGCCCCCUGGGCCGCUCCUGACGCUGAGACGCGAAGGCCAGGGUAGCGAACGGGAUUAGAUACCCUCGUAGUCC
This 292-nucleotide ribosomal RNA is filed under the name uncultured bacterium. RNAcentral describes it as "partial 16S ribosomal RNA". It matches the Rfam family "Bacterial small subunit ribosomal RNA", at positions 505 to 796 of the family's 1533-position model. The record is from RNAcentral.